CCGGGCGUUAUCCGGAUUUAUUGGGUUUAAAGGGAGCGUAGGCUGGAGAUUAAGUGUGUUGUGAAAUGUAGACGCUCAACGUCUGACUUGCAGCGCAUACUGGUUUCCUUGAGUACGCACAACGUUGGCGGAAUUCGUCGUGUAGCGGUGAAAUGCUUAGAUAUGACGAAGAACUCCGAUUGCGAAGGCAGCUGACGGGAGCGCAACUGACGCUGAAGCUCGAAGGUGCGGGUAUCGAACAGGAUUAGAUACCCUGGUAGUCCGCACAGUAAACGAUGGAUGCCCGCUGUUGGUACCUGGUAUCAGCGGCUAAGCGAAAGCAUUAAGCAUCCCACCUGGGGAGUACGCCGGCAACGGUGAAACUCAAAGGAAUUGACGGGGGCCCGCACAAGCGGAGGAACAUGUGGUUUAAUUCGAUGAUACGCGAGGAACCUUACCCGGGCUUGAAUUGCAGAGGAAGGAUUUAGAGAUAA
This 473-nucleotide ribosomal RNA is filed under the name uncultured bacterium. RNAcentral describes it as "bacterial SSU rRNA". It matches the Rfam family "Bacterial small subunit ribosomal RNA", at positions 534 to 1009 of the family's 1533-position model. The record is from RNAcentral.